GGGCUCGUGGUCUAGCCCGGCCAUGACGCUUCCUUGACGUGGAGGAGAUCCCCGGUUCGAAUCCGGGCGAGCCCA
RNAcentral lists this transfer RNA (75 nucleotides) under archaeon. RNAcentral describes it as "tRNA-Val". It matches the Rfam family "tRNA". Rfam says of the family: Transfer RNA (tRNA) molecules are approximately 80 nucleotides in length. Their secondary structure includes four short double-helical elements and three loops (D, anti-codon, and T loops). Further hydrogen bonds mediate the characteristic L-shaped molecular structure. tRNAs have two regions of fundamental functional importance: the anti-codon, which is responsible for specific mRNA codon recognition, and the 3' end, to which the tRNAs corresponding amino acid is attached (by aminoacyl-tRNA synthetases). tRNAs cope with the degeneracy of the genetic code in two manners: having more than one tRNA (with a specific anti-codon) for a particular amino acid; and 'wobble' base-pairing, i.e. permitting non-standard base-pairing at the 3rd anti-codon position. RNAcentral also lists the same sequence under 3 other names. The record is from RNAcentral.